RNAcentral lists this unclassified non-coding RNA (179 nucleotides) under uncultured Onygenales. RNAcentral's name for it is "sequence contains ITS1". Lineage: Eukaryota; Fungi; Ascomycota; Eurotiomycetes; Onygenales. The record is from RNAcentral.
AAUGUUAUAGCAACCCUCUGGCUGAAAAUGCCAGGGGGCACAACUAUACCACCCUUUGUUUAUUACACUUUUGUUGCUUUGGUAGGCCAGUCUUCGGACUGCUGGCUUCGGCCGGACAGCGCCUGCCAGAGGACCUAAACUCUGUUUGUCUAUAAUGUCUGAGUACUAUAUAAUAGUUA